GGGCCCGUAGCCUAGUCAGGAUAAGGCGCCGGCCUGCGGAGCCGGAGAUCCCGGGUUCAAAUCCCGGCGGGCCCGCCA
This 78-nucleotide transfer RNA is filed under the name Thermogladius calderae. RNAcentral describes it as "tRNA-Arg". It matches the Rfam family "tRNA". From Rfam's summary of the family: Transfer RNA (tRNA) molecules are approximately 80 nucleotides in length. Their secondary structure includes four short double-helical elements and three loops (D, anti-codon, and T loops). Lineage: Archaea; Thermoproteati; Thermoproteota; Thermoprotei; Desulfurococcales; Desulfurococcaceae. The record is from RNAcentral.